This is a long non-coding RNA of Centruroides sculpturatus (bark scorpion), 487 nucleotides long. RefSeq lists it as uncharacterized. The transcript is spliced from 4 exons. The record is from RefSeq and is a predicted model, not a curated record. Lineage: Eukaryota; Metazoa; Arthropoda; Arachnida; Scorpiones; Buthidae.
CCUCCGAUAAUAUGUAACUGCAACUGUGGUGGAGCAAAGGGCGAUUCUAAAACUGAAGGGAAUUCUGGAACUACUGGAAGUAGAGGAAGUGUUGACAAUGCUGGUAGUAGAAGUGGUGACAAUAAUGGAAAUGCCGGAAACCAUGAAAAUGAAGGAAAUGAUGGCCCUAAUGUAAACAAUAAUCCAGAUGGAAAUGAAGAAAAUGGAAGAAUUCCUGAAAAUAGAGAAAGUGGAUCCAUACGAUAUUAGAAGACGAAGCUCAUAAAAUAGUAGAUAUGAUGAAAACCAUUAAGUCCAUUAGAUAAAUGCUGAUAAGAAAUGUGUAUUUUUUAUUAUAAUUACGUGUUCUUCAAUUUUAAGAAGUUAGCGUUAUAUCCAAUAAUUUGAAUAUUAUUUCAUAUAUUUCAACCAACACCGCUUUAAUUCCUGUCAUAUUCCUGUGUAAAAUCGAACUUCAUCCCUAUGUAAUUAUAUUCUAUUACCGAAU